Molecule: ribosomal RNA, 377 nt
Filed under: uncultured bacterium
Lineage: Bacteria
Description: bacterial SSU rRNA
Rfam family: Bacterial small subunit ribosomal RNA
Source: RNAcentral
UAAAACGUAGGGGACGAGUGUUAUCCGGAUUCAUUGGGCGUAAAGCGCGUGCAGGUGGUGCUUUAAGUUGGGCGUGAAAUCUCCUGGCUUAACUGGGAGGGGUCGUUCAAUACUGAAGCACUUGAGGGCAGAAGAGGGAGGUGGAAUUCCCGGUGUAGUGGUGAAAUGCGUAGAUAUCGGGAGGAACACCAGUGGCGAAGGCGGCCUCCUGGUCUGCUUCUGACACUAAGACGCGAAAGCUAGGGGAGCAAACGGGAUUAGAUACCCCGGUAGUCCUAGCCGUAAACGAUGGAUACUAGGUGUGGGUGGCAUUGACCCCAUCCGUGCCGUAGCUAACGCGAUAAGUAUCCCGCCUGGGUACUACGGCCGCAAGGUUA